Molecule: ribosomal RNA, 254 nt
Filed under: uncultured bacterium
Lineage: Bacteria
Description: partial 16S ribosomal RNA
Rfam family: Bacterial small subunit ribosomal RNA
Source: RNAcentral
CACGUAGGCACCAAGCGUUGUCCGGAUUUAUUGGGCGUAAAGAGCUCGUAGGCGGUUCAGUAAGUCAGGUGUGAAAUCUUUGGGCUUAACCCAAAGCGUGCACUUGAUACUGCUGUGACUUGAGUUCGGUAGGGGAGUGGGGAAUUCCUAGUGUAGCGGUGAAAUGCGCAGAUAUUGGGAGGAACACCAACGGCGAAGGCAGCACUCUGGGCUGGAACUGACGCUGAGGAGCGAAAGCGUGGGUAGCAAACAGG